GCGAACGCUGGCGGCAGGCCUCACACCUGCAAGUCGAACGAACUCUUCGGAGUUAGUGGCGGACGGGUGAGUAACACGUGGGAACGUGCCUUUUGGUUCGGAAUAACUCAGGGAAACUUGUGCUAAUACCGAAUGUGCCCUUCGGGGGAAAGAUUUAUCGCCAUUAGAGCGGCCCGCGUCUGAUUAGCUAGUUGGUGAGGUAACGGCUCGCCAAGGCGACGAUCAGUAGCUGGUCUGAGAGGAUGACCAGCCACACUGGGACUGAGACACGGCCCAGACUCCUACGGGAGGCAGCAGUGGGGAAUCUUGCGCAAUGGGCGAAAGCCUGACGCAGCCAUGCCGCGUGAAUGAUGGAGGUCUUAGGAUUGUAAAAUUCUUUCACCGGGGACGAUAAUGACGGUACCCGGAGAAGAAGCCCCGGCUAACUUCGUG
This 432-nucleotide ribosomal RNA is filed under the name uncultured bacterium. RNAcentral's name for it is "partial 16S ribosomal RNA". It matches the Rfam family "Bacterial small subunit ribosomal RNA", at positions 29 to 507 of the family's 1533-position model. The record is from RNAcentral.